AGCAGCCGCGGUAAUUCCAGCUCCAAUAGCGUAUAUUAAAGUUGCUGCAGUUAAAAAGCUCGUAGUUGAAUUUCGGGACCAUCAUGUCGGUCGUGCCUUGGUACGUACUAAUUUAUUGGUUUCUUCCUUCUGACGAACCAUGAUGUCAUUAAUUUGGUGUCUUGGGGAAUCAGGACUGUUACUUUGAAAAAUUAGAGUGUUUAAAGCAGGCUCACGCUUGAAUACAUUAGCAUGGAAUAAUGAAAUAGGACGUUUGAUUCUAUUUUGUUGGUUUCUAGGAUCGACGUAAUGAUUAAUAGGGAUAGUUGGGGGCAUUAGUAUUCAAUUGUCAGAGGUGAAAUUCUUGGGUUUAUUGAAGACUAACUACUGCGAAAGCAUUUGCCAAGGAUGUUUUCAUUAAUCAAGAACGAAAGUUAGGGGAUCGAAGACGAUCAGAUACCGUCGUAGUCU
Molecule: ribosomal RNA, 450 nt
Filed under: uncultured Glomus
Lineage: Eukaryota; Fungi; Glomeromycota; Glomeromycetes; Glomerales; Glomeraceae
Description: SSU rRNA
Rfam family: Eukaryotic small subunit ribosomal RNA
Source: RNAcentral